Long non-coding RNA from Rhagoletis pomonella (apple maggot), 695 nucleotides. RefSeq lists it as uncharacterized. Lineage: Eukaryota; Metazoa; Arthropoda; Insecta; Diptera; Tephritidae. The record is from RefSeq and is a predicted model, not a curated record. The transcript has 2 exons.
AUAACCAGCGAAGAUCGAAAAUCGAUUGCAACUCAUAAUAAGGGCCUGUGACUAAUGUAAUUGAUGAUAUACAAAUGUUUUGUCGCAUUAGUGGCUCCAGCAAUGACAGAAGUAGCAAGCAAAAUAACACGGUGCUACAAACAGAAAAAGGCUGCAUGUACUUUUUAUGUUAUGUAGUGGAGGGGGUAAAACAAGUCUAAAAACAAUUCUGGUAUUAGCAGAAUCUCAAAUAUAUCCCCACAAUCCUAAGUUAUGAUCAAAAAAUUGAAAAUCCGCGAUUUGAGGUCAAAACACCGGUCAAGAAUUGGACAGUUUUCAACGGAUUGUGAUAGCCUAUUGCGAGUAUCAACUAGAAGAAGAUAAACGACUACUAAGCGAUUAUCAUUAUCGAUUCUAUUGUGAGUGUCGAUUAAUCGCUUAUCCUUCUACUGCUGUUUUUGAGUCGAUAGAGUUUGCAUGAACAAAAUUGUGGUGAUAUAAAUAAAUAAAUAAUGGAUAAAAAAUCAAAAUUGGUUAGCAAUAAAAAGCAACUUGGGCGGCUGGUCCAGCUGAUGCAGGACAAUCAGGACUUGGCUAAAGGAAUUUGUAGUUGAACUGAACAGCUUGGGACCACCACUACGUGCAUGGUAAAAGUGGUUAAAGGUGAAAUAAAUGCAUAUUAAGCUUUAAUUAAUAAAAUAAUUUAUACUAAUAUA